RNAcentral lists this ribosomal RNA (267 nucleotides) under uncultured bacterium. RNAcentral describes it as "partial 16S ribosomal RNA". It matches the Rfam family "Bacterial small subunit ribosomal RNA", at positions 793 to 1055 of the family's 1533-position model. The record is from RNAcentral.
GUCCUGGCAGUAAACGGUGCACGUUUGGUGUGGGCGCAUUCGACCGCGUCCGUGCCGGAGCUAACGCGUUAAACGUGCCGCCUGGGAAGUACGGUCGCAAGAUUAAAACUCAAAGAAAUUGACGGGGACCCGCACAAGCGGUGGAGUAUGUGGCUUAAUUCGAUGCAACGCGAAGAACCUUACCUGGGUUUGACAUGUAUUGUGUCUCCGAUGAAAGUCGGAUAGUGUAGCAAUACACGCUUUACACAGGUGCUGCAUGGCUGUCGU